Molecule: ribosomal RNA, 200 nt
Filed under: uncultured prokaryote
Description: partial 16S ribosomal RNA
Rfam family: Bacterial small subunit ribosomal RNA
Source: RNAcentral
GUCAAAUCAUCAUGCCCUUUAUGCCCUGGGCUACACACGUAAUACAAUGGCGCAAUAACAGAGGGAAGCAAUACCGCGAGGUGGAGCAAAUCCCCAAAAGGCGUCUCAGUUCGGAUUGCAGGCUGCAACCCGCCUGCAUGAAGUCGGAAUUGCUAGUAAUCGCGGAUCAGCAUGCCGCGGUGAAUACGUUCCCGGGUCUU